RNAcentral lists this ribosomal RNA (225 nucleotides) under uncultured Eubacteriales bacterium. RNAcentral's name for it is "uncultured Clostridiales bacterium partial 16S ribosomal RNA". It matches the Rfam family "Bacterial small subunit ribosomal RNA", at positions 109 to 334 of the family's 1533-position model. The record is from RNAcentral. Lineage: Bacteria; Bacillati; Bacillota; Clostridia; Eubacteriales.
AGUAACGCGUGAGCAACCUGCCUAUGACAGUGGGAUAGCCUCGGGAAACCGGGAUUAAUACCGCAUAAAAUCGUAGAAACACAUGUUUUAACUGUCAAAGAUUUAUCGGUCAUAGAUGGGCUCGCGUCUGAUUAGCUAGUUGGUGAGAUAACAGCCCACCAAGGCGACGAUCAGUAGCCGGUCUGAGAGGAUGAACGGCCACAUUGGAACUGAGACACGGUCCAA